CGGGCUUGAAAGUUAGUGACGGCGGAUGAAAGUCUGCUUCCCUUCGGGGCACGAAACUAGGUGCUGCAUGGUUGUCGUCAGCUCGUGCCGUGAGGUGUCGGCUUAAGUGCCAUAACGAGCGCAACCCUUGCCGUUAGUUGCCAUCGGGUAAUGCCGGGAACUCUAGCGGGACUGCUACUGUAAGGUAGAGGAAGGUGGGGAUGACGUCAAAUCAGCACGGCCCUUACGUCCGGGGCGACACACGUGUUACAAUGGUGAGUACAGAGGGUUGCUACCCCGCGAGGGGAUGCUAAUCUCAUAAAACUCAUCUCAGUUCGGAUCGGAGUCUGCAACUCGACUCCGUGAAGCUGGAUUCGCUAGUAAUCGCGCAUCAGCCAUGGCGCGGUGAAUACGUUCCCGGGCC
This 403-nucleotide ribosomal RNA is filed under the name uncultured bacterium. RNAcentral describes it as "bacterial SSU rRNA". It matches the Rfam family "Bacterial small subunit ribosomal RNA", at positions 976 to 1380 of the family's 1533-position model. The record is from RNAcentral.